This 400-nucleotide ribosomal RNA is filed under the name Candidatus Bathyarchaeota archaeon. RNAcentral's name for it is "bacterial SSU rRNA". It matches the Rfam family "Archaeal small subunit ribosomal RNA", at positions 279 to 681 of the family's 1478-position model. The record is from RNAcentral. Lineage: Archaea; Thermoproteati; Candidatus Bathyarchaeota.
AGAGCGGGAGCCCGGAGAUGGGCACUGGGACAAGGGCCCAGGCCCUGCGGGGCGCAGCAGUCGCGAAAACUUUGCAAUAAGCGAAAGCUUGACAGGGCUAUCCCGAGUGCCAUCCGCUGAGGAAGGCUUUUACCCAGUCUAGAACGCUGGGGGAAUAAGGAGAGGGCAAGUCUGGUGUCAGCCGCCGCGGUAAUACCAGCUCUUCGAGUGGUGUGGAUGUUUAUUGGGCCUAAAGCAUCCGUAGCUGGCUAGGUUAGUCCCUUGUUAAAUCCACCGAAUUAAUCGAUGGUUUGCGGGGGAUACUGCUUGGCUAGGGGACGAGAGAGGCAGACGGUAUUUUCGGGGUAGGGGUGAAAUCCUAUAAUCCCGGGAAGACCACCAGUGGCGAAGGCUGUCUGCU